AGUGAACGCUGGCGGUAGGCCUAACACAUGCAAGUCGAACGGCAGCACAGUAAGAGCUUGCUCUUACGGGUGGCGAGUGGCGGACGGGUGAGGAAUACAUCGGAAUCUACUUUUUCGUGGGGGAUAACGUAGGGAAACUUACGCUAAUACCGCAUACGACCUACGGGUGAAAGCAGUGGAUCUUCGUACCUUUCGCGAUUGAAUGAGCCGAUGUCGGAUUAGCUAGUUGGCGGGGUAAAGGCCCACCAAGGCGACGAUCCGUAGCUGGUCUGAGAGGAUGAUCAGCCACACUGGAACUGGGACACAGUCCAGACUCCUACGGGAGGCAGCAGUGGGGAAUAUUGGACAAUGGGCGCAAGCCUGAUCCAGCCAUACCGCGUGGGUGAAGAAGGCCUUCGGGUUGUAAAGCCCUUUUGUUGGGAAAGAAAAGCAGCAGGUUAAUACCCCGCUGUUCUGACGGUACCCAAAGAAUAAGCACCGGCUAACUUCGUG
Molecule: ribosomal RNA, 492 nt
Filed under: uncultured bacterium
Lineage: Bacteria
Description: partial 16S ribosomal RNA
Rfam family: Bacterial small subunit ribosomal RNA
Source: RNAcentral